UUUUUAGCAUAAAUAUAUCUCAUGCAAUAUUUGGACAUAAUUAUACUAAAU
RNAcentral lists this microRNA precursor (51 nucleotides) under Marmota monax (woodchuck). The record is from RNAcentral. Lineage: Eukaryota; Metazoa; Chordata; Mammalia; Rodentia; Sciuridae.